Molecule: ribosomal RNA, 433 nt
Filed under: uncultured bacterium
Lineage: Bacteria
Description: partial 16S ribosomal RNA
Rfam family: Bacterial small subunit ribosomal RNA
Source: RNAcentral
AACGAACGCUGGCGGCAUGCCUAACACAUGCAAGUCGAACGUGACCUUCGGGUCUAGUGGCGCACGGGUGCGUAACGCGUGGGAACCUGCCCUUAGGUUCGGAAUAACUCCCCGAAAGGGGUGCUAAUACCGGAUAAUGUCUUCGGACCAAAGAUUUAUCGCCUUUGGAUGGGCCCGCGUUGGUUUAGCUAGUUGGUAGGGUAAAAGCCUACCAAGGCGACGAUCCAUAGCUGGUCUGAGAGGAUGAUCAGCCACACUGGGACUGAGACACGGCCCAGACUCCUACGGGAGGCAGCAGUGGGGAAUAUUGGACAAUGGGCGAAAGCCUGAUCCAGCAAUGCCGCGUGAGUGAUGAAGGCCUUAGGGUUGUAAAGCUCUUUUACCCGGGAUGAUAAUGACAGUACCGGGAGAAUAAGCUCCGGCUAACUCCGUG